CCCACUGCCACAGAGCAGGAGCUGAUCGACGUGUCAUGCUUUGCUCUGAGCCUCCCUUGGCUCUUGUGCUUGCCGAAACUGGUGGCUGGGCUGUCCCCCCCAGUUGUGGCCAGUGGGCUGGGGGGGGGGGCAGCUGGCUGAUCAGAGCCCCCUUGCCUGUCUGCUAUCUUUCAUGCUGACCUCACAGACCCUUGGGUCUCAGGAUCCCUAUCCCUGCCACAGGCUAGUCACCCAAGGUCACUGCUGUUGCUCUUGCCAGAAGCCUCUGAGUGUUUUUGAGUGUUUUCAAGGUCAGACUGAAGGGUUCAUGUCCAGGCCCCGCCAGUCCCUCCCUUUGUGGUCUUUGGCCAGGUGCCAGACCCCUCUGAACUUGUUUCCCCAUCUUUAAAAUGUGGUUCGUAAUUGCUCUUACCUCUUGGGGUCUGUGUCAGGGUUUGAUGACAAGCCCUGCAAAUCACCACGUACUCGGUGCUUGCUGCCAUGAGCCUGUCACUGUCACCUCCACCCAUGACAAAAGUAAUAAAGACGAUAAAAAAAUCAUUUUGACCCCAAAAGUGUGGCCUAAUUAUUUUAAAGCAGAUGAUCCAUUUGCUUGGAGACUGGCAGAUCAGCAAACCAGUGGCUUGACUGAUGACUUACACCCCUUAUACCCGUUGUAGUCGUAUUAGUUUCUUCUUGCUGCUGUGACACAUUAGCACAAACUCAGCAGCUGAACUCCAGGCAUUUAUUCUCUUACAGUUGUGCAGGAUAGAAGUCUGACACGGGCCUCACUGGGCUGGGAUUGAGGUGUUAGCUGGGCUGCAUUCCCUCUGGAAGCUCCAGGGAGAAUCUCUUUCCCUGCCUUUCUAGCUGCCCCAUUCCUUGGCCGUGGCCCCAGCGAGCAAGGUGCCGUUCUCUUUACUGAAUGUCUUCCUGCGACACUCCUCUUCUGCCACCUCCUUCCACCUUUCAGGCCCCUUGUGCUUCCAUUGGCCCACCUCGAUAAUCCAAGGUCAUUGCUCUAAGUUCAGCUGAUAGGCAACCUUAAUUUCACCUGCAACCGGAAUCCCUUUUGCUGCCUGACCUGUAUUCGCAGGUUCCGAGGACCAGGACUUGGACGCCUUUGGGAGUGGGAUUGUUCUGCCCGCCCUGCUGAGCUGGCAUCUUGCUGCUCAGACACAGUAAUACAAAUCCAGUGCUGCCUUCGUGCUUCGUCCUAACUUCCCUCCCUGCCUCCAAGGGUGCGUAGAGAGGAUAGAUGGUACCCAAAGUGAGGACACUUGGUUGGUAGAAACAGUGUUUAUAUAGGUAUAACCUUGGUUGGGAAGAAAGGAAAAAACAAAAACAAAUGAAAGAUGUAAGAGGAGGCAAGCAGUACCAGGGACAGAACACUGCCCUGCCAUGUGGAGCCUGAUCCUCCUGACGCAAUCAGAGCCUCACUAGACUGUUCUGCCGGGUUCUGAGCUUCCGACCUUAAUAGAGACCAGAGAGAUUAAUGGGGGCUCAGAAGAGAAAUCUCUGAUUGGCUGUCGUGUGAAGUGUUGCUUACCUGCUUGAAACGUUAAAUAUAAGACUUGCCCAUUCGUUCGGCACACAGUUAUCUCACCUCCCAGGAAAGGGUGUUUAAUGUAUAGGGAGACAGGGAUAAAUAAUUCUGUCUGCCCCGAAGGCCCUGGAGACCCAUCGCCUGCAGGGGCAGGUUCUGAAGUCAGCAUAUAAGCCGGAAGUGGAGCAUCGUCCGUGACCCUCAGAGAUCCUUGCAGACUUCAUGCCCUUGGCAGCUCAGAGCCAGUGCAGAACCCAGAUGCCAGCUUCUUGUAUUUCCGUGGGAAGCAGAGGCCCAUUCCUAUCCAGGCCCCUCGAGUUUUCCACCACCCUUGUCCUUCGUUGUGUGUGCUUCAUGUCCUUGUCACUAGGUGGCCGUUCGUUGGUGGGUGUGAGGGUUGGAAUGUGGGAGCUGGCAAACAGCCUUUUAUCCGAUGGUACUGCCCACCAGUACGCCGUCCACUCUCCUGCUUCUAAGGGAAAAGAGAGUGCGUAGUGAUGCCGUUGCUGCAUUCGUCUUCGUCCCGGUGAGGCCUUCAAGUUUCCUCUGUUGUUGUUUGGAUGUGCACCUCCAUCUCCACCCCAGAAAGCAAAGCGAGCAAGGCGUUACUUCCAGGCCAGGGCCUCCCCUAACUCUGCAUGUGCUUGGCCUGCGUGGGCCAGGACGUGGAGACGCACUUCCGAGUUACGUGCCGUCUGUGGAGACUGACAUUUAUCCGCGAGGGUUGCAGAGUCUAAUUGUUUUUAAACUGCCACUUUUGUUUGUUAAAGAUACAGAUGUCUGGCCAUGGAGGAAAGCAAAGGGAAUUUAUUGUUACAAUUAGAUGCCUCACAAUUUGAAAACUUAUCACUUAAAUUGGUGAAGUGUCACUUUUAUGCCUCCUGAUGUUUAGAAGCCCUGGGAGCCCAGGAUUAAACUCAUAGACCCUUUAACAAGAGCCUGGCGAGAUGAAGGAAGUCGCACUUGACGAGACAUUGAGACAAACUGGAUGGGACUGUCCACUUGCCUCCUACGUGGUAGGACAGGUGAAGGGAAGUGGACCACAGCUUGAUUUUUUUGUAUAACUCUUCAAUUAAGGGGAACGGAGUUAAAAUCACUGGAUGUGGAGUUAGUUAAUACGAAUCUUGACGGACAUGAGGUUUUAUUCUCUGUGUUAAUUUGUGCUGUCUCCUAUUCCCUGGGUGGCUGAGAACAAGUCAUAGGUGACGUUUCUUAUUUAUGGGCAUUAAGCAAUAUCUUUAAAAUGUAAAAUAAAGCCGACAAAAUGCACAGCCUGAUAACAACAACAAAUCUAAUCUAAAGUGACACAGGGAGACUCUUGGAGACGUUUUUCUCUUUAAUGUAACAUGACUUUAAAUUGAUGCAGCCCCACAGUGAUUGAAAAACUCUCAGAGCUUGUCUCCUAUGAUUACAUUUCUGAUCUGUACAACUUAAUUUUUUAACUCGGUGAGUCUCCGUUUUGCGAAUGAGCAGUUUUUCUCUUGCCCGCUCUCACUUUAUUUGGGAAGAGAGUUUAUUUGGCAGCCAGGCGGAUGGAGCUCUUUUACCACGGGAAAUCAUGAGAAACCCAACAACAACGAAGUCCGAGGAAUGCGCCCCCCAAGAACGUGUGCCUCUUCUCGUGUAUUUUCUCUUCUUUUCUCUUGACAUUGGUGAUGUUCUCACUUAUUUGUGCUUAUGCUAAGAACCCAUUAAUCGCAUACUUUAUUAUGCUUUAAUUGAAGUGGAAUUGAUUUAUAGUGUGUUUGUUUCAGGUGUACAGCAAAGUGAUUCAGUUACCUCCUUUUUCAGAUUCAUCUGCAUUUUAGGUUAUUACAGGGUACUGGCCAUAGUUCCCGGUGCUCUACAGUAGGUCCUUGUUGUUUAUCUCGUUUAUCCAUAGUAGCGAGCAUCUGUUCAUCUCAGACUCUCUCCCCCACUGUACACGUUAAUUGGCUAAAUGAUACAGUCUGGGAACUGUAUCUCGGCAAAGCUCGAAUAUGUUUUUUAAGCGUCUCUGGAAUCAUUGUCAGUAAGUUACUUUGCAAAGUGUGUUUUGAUGAAUUCAAAAUUAAUUUAAAGUGGAUUAUACGUCUCUGACAUGUCCGGCAGUGCCUGGUCAUUGCUCAUGUUUAUUCAGGACACACACUCACAUCCUUUAUCCGGUGGUGUCUAGAAGGUGUUGGGAUGUGGAGUCGUGAGUUCCAUUUCUUGGGCCUCCUGUGGGAUGUUGAUGAAUCUGACAUGGUCCGAAGGCCAUUCUCGUCAUGGAUGCUUCCACUUCAGCACAAUAAAUUAACUUGCAUCGUUCUGACCUCACUUAGCUGUGCAUACACUUCUCACCUUCCUCCAAAACCUUCCUUUCAGAGCCCACUUGUUUAUUCAGCUUGGAUAAUUGCUACAGUGUAAAACAAACAUCUGACGAACUUUUUUUUUUUUUUUUUUGGUCCUAACUGUGUUACCGAAUGACUGGUACUCCAUAAUCCCCAAAGGCCUCCUGACUCUUCUUUUGCUUUUUUUCAACAGUAUCCUUUCAGACCCUACCUAGAAAAAUCAAAGCUUUCUGUGUUAGUUUAUCAUCUUUUUUAACUCGGCUGUCUCAGCUUGGGUAUUUAAUCUUUGACAUGGCUAUUGAUAAUUGUAACUCUUUUAUUUGAAAUAUGCUUAGUGUUGUCUUAUGUAAGACAAGAAAUUCAGGGACAAGAAAACCAUUUACACCUUCUCUUACAUAACAAGCAGUUUCCAGGAGGUGCUGUGACAAGGAUCAAGAAGAAUAAGGGACCUUCUGGCAGUUCUGAGCUCGAAUGCAUGUGAUGAUGAUGUGUCUGGAAUUACAGGGUAGGGGACACUGUUCUUACAGGUAAACGUGCAUAUACUUUGUUCCCUUCAUCUGGUGUACACUCUAGUUAAUUGCUUUUUGGGCUCAUUUUAAAAUUAAGAUUCACAUCAUCCAUUGAGGAGCUUGAGUUUAUGCUUGAAGCAAGAAACCCUUAGUCGAAAUUUUUAACUAUUAGAGCCACAUAUGUUUGAAUGCUGUGAUUUCAUUUUCUCUUAUCCAAAGGUACCCUAUACCUUUAAGGAGGUGAAUCCUGGAGUCGGUUUUAUUAUAUAUCUCACGACAGAGUUAAGCUUGGUUCAUUUGGAUUUGAAAAAUCUCCAGAGCUUUGAGAAUGACUUUGAAACACUCUUUACUGUUGGAGCUUAGAGGAAAUAAAUCUCGACUGUCCUCUCUAUUAAUUCACCUGCUUGGAAAGUUAGAGAUUAAAGGGUUUAGUGGGGUUUUUAUACUUCCUAUAAUUUCUGUUUGUAUUGGAGUAAACUCUUCUUUGUGUGGAGUGGUUCAGCUCUCAUGAAACAGAGAGAUGCCGCUACCGAGGGGAGAAGAAGGGAAAGUGUGGUGUUAACACAGAAAACUUCUCGUGGCUGUUUUCUGGUGUUAGGUGUAAAGGAGCGAGUAAGUUCCUUUAAUUAAGUCUCUUUGAGGGACGCAGUCUCCUCUCUGUAUCGCUGGUGAACUCUGAGAGCACAGACUUGGAGCUUUUCCUUUUGAAAGAAGGCUCUUUGUUUUUCUUCAGAAGUCAUUUUUAGCAACACGAGGGCAGAAAAAGAGAAGUCGAUAAGGAAAUGAAUCACGCGAUGGAAGCAGAACCAGCAUCCUCCGGUCCCGCUCCUGUUCUGCUCUCCAGAACCGCGGCUGCUCAUUAAUGACCUGAGAGCUGACGCUGGGUGGUGAGAUGAAGCCGCAGCGCACACGUUGGGGUGUGACUGAUGGCGUGGUUAUUACCAUCCAUUCAUGUGUAAUCCUGCAUCGGGAAGGUUUGUAAUUUGUUUUUGACACAUUUCUCUCCGAUUUCAUACAUUCCCGUGUAUCGCUCUCACCUUCCCCCAGAAGCCUAUUUCCAAGGCAGACUUUGUUUAUUCACUUGAGGUAAUUUAUAGGCCACUGCUUAUUUUCCUUAAUACAUAAUCUCUUCCCUUAAUGCUCCCUCUGUCUUCCAAGCUGACAACUUCGAGAACUAAAGCCACAGGGCUGGAGCUGGCAACUUCUGCCAAGGAAGGAAAGCCAGGCCGGGCCUUGAGCUCCUAAAGCGGCCGGUGGAAUUCACUUUAGAUGCAUUCCCUUUGCAGUGGUGAAUGGAGAGUGUUUGCAAAUCACCAAAAAUAUCUUUCUGUGACUUGGAACGAUGGCCUCUUCCCUCUCAGUGGCCACAAUGGCCCCUGGAAAAGAAACUGGCCUGCUCCCAGAGGCCCAGGAAGUGGGGGUGGUGGGGAGGGGGGGGACUGGCCCCUGGGCAGGUCGAGGGAGGCCAGUCCCCAGUUCACUGCCAACAUGCAUUUCUCCAGGGCCAGGGCCCAGCUGGGCCUUGUUAGGAGCAAGAGUUUGGCCGUGACAUCACU
This 5902-nucleotide long non-coding RNA is filed under the name Sus scrofa (pig). RNAcentral's name for it is "lncRNA (ENSSSCG00050033862.1)". The record is from RNAcentral. Lineage: Eukaryota; Metazoa; Chordata; Mammalia; Artiodactyla; Suidae.